UACGUAGGUGGCAAGCGUUGUCCGGAUUUACUGGGCGUAAAGAGCGCGCAGGCGGUUAUUCAAGUCGAAUGUGAAAGCCCCCGGCUUAACUGGGGAGGGUCAUUCGAUACUGUUUAACUUGAAGGCAGGAGAGGGUAGUGGAAUUCCCGGUGUAGUGGUGAAAUGCGUAGAUAUCGGGAGGAACACCAGCGGCGAAGGCGGCAUCCUGGACUGGUCCUGACGCUCAGGAGCGAAAGCGUGGGGAGCGAUCCGG
This 253-nucleotide ribosomal RNA is filed under the name uncultured bacterium. Its description in RNAcentral is "partial 16S ribosomal RNA". It matches the Rfam family "Bacterial small subunit ribosomal RNA", at positions 524 to 776 of the family's 1533-position model. The record is from RNAcentral.